This 414-nucleotide ribosomal RNA is filed under the name Orseolia oryzae (Asian rice gall midge). RNAcentral describes it as "partial 12S ribosomal RNA". The record is from RNAcentral. Lineage: Eukaryota; Metazoa; Arthropoda; Insecta; Diptera; Cecidomyiidae.
UACUAUGUUACGACUUAUUUUAAUUUUAAUUAAAAACGACGGGCAAUAUGUACAUAUAUUAAUUUAAUUCAAAUAAAAAAUUUAUUAAAUUUUUACUAUUUAAAUCCAAUUUUAAAUAAAGUUUUACAAUUUAUUAUUCAUUAAUAGAUUUAAUUGUAUUCAUUAAUUUAUUAUGACAUGUAUGUGAUUUGAAUUUAAUUUUAUAAAAAUACUAAUAAUUUUUAAAAUAUCAGUUUAAAUACACAUAUACAUAUAUAACAAAAAAAUUAAAUAAAUUUUAAAGUGUAAUAUCUAUUAUAUAACAAAAUCCUCUAAUUUUUAAAUAUACUGCCAUUUUAAAUUAAUUUUUUAUUAAAAAAUAUUUAUUAAAUAAAAAAUUUUAAAAAUAAAUAAAAGGGUAUCUAAUCCUAGUUU